CGGACAAAUAAGUUUGAUGUCAAAUAUGAUGGCUCAACCAUCAAGAGGCGUUGAAAACUGUUUAUCUGGAAUCUCGGAGAGGUAAGUGGAAUUCCAUGUGUUAGGUCGGUGGAAUGCGUAGAUAUAUGGAGGAACACCAAUGGCGAAGGCAGCUUACUGGACGAAGAUUGACGCUGAGGUGCGAAAGCGUGGGUAGCAAACAGGAUUAGAUACCCUGGUAG
This 221-nucleotide ribosomal RNA is filed under the name uncultured bacterium. RNAcentral describes it as "partial 16S ribosomal RNA". It matches the Rfam family "Bacterial small subunit ribosomal RNA", at positions 576 to 793 of the family's 1533-position model. The record is from RNAcentral.